UACGUAGGGUGCAAGCGUUGUCCGGAAUUAUUGGGUGUAAAGAGCUCGUAGGCGGUCUGUCGCGUCUGCUGUGAAAACUCGGGGCUUAACCCCGGGCCUGCAGUGGGUACGGGCAGACUAGAGUGCGGUAGGGGAGACUGGAAUUCCUGGUGUAGCGGUGAAAUGCGCAGAUAUCAGGAGGAACACCGGUGGCGAAGGCGGGUCUCUGGGCCGUAACUGACGCUGAGGAGCGAAAGCAUGGGGAGCGAACAGG
This 253-nucleotide ribosomal RNA is filed under the name uncultured bacterium. Its description in RNAcentral is "partial 16S ribosomal RNA". It matches the Rfam family "Bacterial small subunit ribosomal RNA", at positions 524 to 776 of the family's 1533-position model. The record is from RNAcentral.